GGCCCCUCGGUUGUCGGGCUCAGGAACUUGGGAAGACCCUUCAGGCUCACCUGCUGGAUGCGCUGAAGAGAUGAAUCGUCAGCUCUCAGCCCUCAUUUGCCGGGCCAAGGGAGGGAGAAGUCACAACGUUAAGAAUCCAGUUGAUGAUUUCUUGGGGCCCUGCGUGGCAGCCGCAAAUUACAAAGUGAAAACGGAAUGCGAGAAACACUUUCCUGUCCCGAACAAAUCCCUCUCCCACUACACCAGUCUUUCUCGAGGGGGUGAUCUCGCCUGCCCGGGGUACACUGGGCAAUGUCUGGAAGCAUUCUGGAUCGUCACACCUGGGGACACGCGGUGCUGGCGUCUAGCGGGGGAGGGCUGGGGACGCUGCUAAACGUUCUCCAGCGCCCAGGACCGCUCCCCACGAUGAGGCACCAUCAGGCCCAAAAGUACGAACGGAACAGGCUGAGCAAACUCGCACUGCACUCUAACAGGUUCCUCGUGUCCCGGGAGGCAGGAGACGAAUCUCGGUUACCUGCCUUCCGUCUUGCCGCAGAGACUGUCCCCGACCCCAGCACGGGCUCCAUCCACACACAAAACAGGGGCUUAUGACUCCCAGUUCAGAGGAAGGGCAGGUCGCCCGUGACCUACUCGCAACACUUCUGGGGUCUCAUGAUCCCUGGUGCUUGAGUCCGCCGGGGACGGCCACGAGACACACACGUGGAGGCGACGUGACAACCCAGAGGAGCCAUUUCUAAACGUGUGACUUUUUUGGCUGCCGGUCACGUUCCUGUGCUUCAUCUUGCUUGGCUCUGGGACCAGAGCGGUGACCACGCAGGGGAAAAGUUGUCUGCACUGGGAGCCGUGGCUGCGCUUCUGGAGUGGCUUACCCCAGGAGCACGGUCAGGAGGUGCUGCGGGACACUGCUCUCCUCUGUCAGGAGCCGCAGAAAAGCCAAGGGAAAAAACCCGUCUCGUGGUUUGUAUCUGUAGGGCUGCUGGCUCGCCGGCUCCACUCAGCUGGCCUUCACGCCGGCCCGGAACAGCGCGGGACACACACAAACCCGAAUCAGGGAGUUCUUUUCCUUGGCAGAGGGACCUUGGCUCGACUGCCACAGAGAACAUUCUGGAGCUUAGAGACGAUUUCAUAGCCAGCUUAUCCAUCCACAUACUUGGAAAGAGACUGUGGUUAAGACAUCACACUUGCUUUUCCUUUGUUGUAGUAACUGUACAUACAAAAACCGGUUUUCCCCCCAACUGAACUUGUGGGCACUGCGUAGAGGCCCACUGCGUAGAGGGAUCGAAUGUUUGCAUUAUGGCUGUGGAUUUUCAUACUGUGAGAUGGAACAGCAAGGUGACACAGCCACUCUGUCCACACCCCAUUCCACGUCUCUCGAUGGCAGAGGAGCCAGCACAAGUUGAAAGUAAGACUUAGCACCCGCACCGUCCUCUGGGUGAUGCGAGGCCGGAACUGGUGGAGAGAGGCCUUCUGUCCCCGAGGAAGGUGUGCGACGCCCAGAAGCAAUGGAGUGGGGUGAGGAUGGGUGCGGAUAAGACACAGCUGUCCCGUCAUUGUGAUUACGAUUACGAUUGUGAGUCCAGGAGGCUCCUCACCGAAGCACUGGUUUCACUCUUUUAAAAAUAAACUCUUUCAGUCUGCCGAUGUCCCUCGCCCGGGCAUGCUGAAACACGCGAGUUACGCGUUUGCCUUGUUAAGUGCCACGCUGAGUAGUCCCUGGGGCCCUCCCUCCUGUGCGCCCCCUGCCCCCCGCCGUCAGAGCAGGGCUCUGCCUCACGAGACGUCACCGCGGCCGGGACCAAGUGCACAGCAGCAAAUAUUGUGGUUUCGCCUAAUGCCCCAACUGUGCAAACAGAUGACCAAAAGCGUAGUUCACAAGACAGAGAGGAGGUCAGAAUCUGUCGGCGCAGACACUCCACACGGCGACUGAUACAAUGCAAUGCACUUUCGUAGGGGGCUUAUUUACGGGAACAUAUCAUGGGUCUUGGCAAUUCGUAGCACGACGUUCCAUGGAAAAUUCCCUUCUCUGCUCAGACUAAACGCAAGACAUACAGCAUUCACUUUUGAUUAACGAAGGCCGUAAACACACCCCAACAGGUAUAAUACGGUAGUUUACAGCCGUGGCCUAAAUUGGCAGAUAUGCUUUCUUCUUCAUAAAACGAGAAAAGUGGGAUAGGUUGGAAAUCUCCGUGACUCUCGGCAGGACGGCUAGCUGGCCGCGGCCACCGCAGGGACUGUCUCAUUACCCACUUACCAGGAUUUGGUCUCCUCCGGCAUCAUUUAUUCAUUACCUAUACUGCGGCUUUGUAGGCUAGUCUAUAAAUACCUUUCUAAUUUGAAUUAAGAUAAUGUGCUAUCUGUGCUUGUUAGAUGUGGCAAAACGCAGCUUGUACUCACUUUAAAUCUUACCAAGUCAGAGAGCAGUUUUGCAUUCCAGAUAGAGCUAAAAAUAUUCACCCAUUAAAAUAGUAAUCAUCAUUGAAAUUAGCUCACUGAUUUUGCUGAUUAAUUUCUCGGUGACAAGUACGCUUUCUAAAAAGUUUCCAUUAAACAUUUUUUUUUUUGAACAAAACUCGACUUUUAAAAUCUAAACUAUCUAGGAAGAAAGGGAUAAUUAAGGAAAUAAAAAUAGAAAAUUUAAAUCCACUGUAAUUUGCACAGACUUGGUGAAGCUUCGCUGUCAAAAACCAGAGGAAGGCAAAGCAUGGAAACAGUUGUGGUGACUGGAAUGUGGGACCGAGGCCCCCUUCUUCACUUUGGGGGUGACGCACAUGCCUGGGAACGUGCUUUGUUUUUGUCUGCACAGGAGCGCACUAGCGGGCAUAGUAAGAGUGCAAGUGCUCAGCGCCACUCUCGUGACAUUAGACGUUUAUGUGCACGCGCUCGAUUUUCAUUUGCAACAGGCAUGCGUCCAGUCCAGCAGAAGGCUGUAAAUCCGUGACAGCAUAAAGGGGCACUUGAAAGUCAUGGAUGAAACAAAGGCUGGUCAUUGUUUGUUUUUUUGUCUUUAUUAUCUUCAUUUUAGUCACUAUGUUUAGUUGAUAUUCCCAUAUUAUAUGGGGUUAAAGACAUAAACAGGCUAAAAUAUUAUUUUAAUCAACCCUAUAGAAAAUGGUGUUUCCAUUCAAUCCUUUAGGCAAAUCAACCCCUUACUGUCAUCUUCAGAAAAUAGGCUAAUAUAGAUGCCUCUGGUUUUAAGUAUAUUAACUAUGUCGAAACUAAAAAAUGGGGCACGGGUGGUAAGACAGAAGGCUGCUGAGAAAGGUUUAGAAUACAGGGAUCAGGAGAAAGUUAUAACGUGCACUUGGGUUAAAAAUAACGUAUCAUUCGGUACCAAUUAAGGCGAUAAAGUAUUCCUUAGCUAUGAACGUUUAACGUUUCAUAUUAUUUAUAACAGACACACAUCACAAAAUAAUAGUGAAAUCCAGUACGUCACGGAUGACUAUUGUAUAGUAACGGCCACAGAAAUAUCUUCUGACAUUUCUCAAAUAAUGCAUCCCAGCAGCUCCGGAGGAAGACAGAGAUUCACGCCAAAGCGAUCUGGUGUCCAGCGGAACUGAGAAAGGGGAGCAGUGGUCCUGGCUCCUGCGAUCAGUGCACACUCACCAGGGAAUGAACGAGUAGGCCAGGAAACAUGUCCUCCGGCCGUCGGUUAGACGUGCCCAACUGCCUUUCCAUGUGCCCAGAUAUAAGCCAUCGUGGAAAAAUCAGCAAGAAUUUGCUGCCAAGCUCAGAGAUUUUCUCCCCAAGCAGAACUGGUGAGCUUGGGUAACUCCUAUCAUUGUAUAACAGGGAAACUCUACACACGCGUGUUGUGGAUGGAUGCUGAUCACACGGCUUUAUAGUAAACUUUCUCCCAGGGGCGGGAAGCGAGGAGGAAAACCACUCGGAGAUCAGGCUAAGGCCGGCCCAAGAUUUAGACCUGAGAUGAUCAGACUUCUGAGUGCACCUGCGACCGACCAUGUCAGAACUAUCACAUCCUCCUCAACCCAUGUAUGCACCGCCCUCUCGGAGUCGCCCGCAGCAAGCUGGGACUGCCACGGGACUGAGGGCUCACGGACGUUGUGUGAACGCAUAGAAAGUUUUAGAAAAUUCAGUUCUUUUAAUGCUUCUUUUUCAGGUGAUAAAAUAUCUAAAAAUCGCAAACACACUUUGGACUCUCUGUUAGCGAUUACUAAUGAUCCCUGGUUAUAAUGAGCGUGUGAAUUUCUUUGAAAUGAAAUUCUCUGUUGCUUUUCUUUUUAACGAAUCAAUUUGUGAUGGUUCUGGGAUUAUUUCAGACACGGAGGUAUGAUGUAUUUCUUCUCCCAUGGGCGUCAGAGAAUUUUAUGGUGCCCCCCCCAGCCCCAGCUCUGGAAAAGGCACCUACUGUUUCCCUGUUUCAGCUAUAUUUUGUAAAACUGUUAGCAAUGUCUAAGAUACGAGUGGGUGGAAAGGGGUGAGGAUUAUAUAAUGUUGCUAUUUUCUUUAACUUUCUUUCAUUGUAUGUUUGCUGAAUGAGUGUGAGUUUAGCACCAAUAAUUUGCACCCAGGACUGCAGAUUGGGACCUGCUUGGCCCCAGUGACCGUCACAGCGAGAGGACUCCAACAUUUGGGAAACGACAAAUGUCUCACAUGCUUGGCUGCCCUAACAGAAUACCAUAGUCUGCGACUUAAACAACAAAUAUUUAUUUCUCACGGCUCUGGAGGCUGGAAGUCUAAGAUCAGAGAGCUGGUGGGUUUGGCUUCUUCUGAAGCCUAUUUGGCUUGCCAAUGACCACCUUCUCCUCAAGUGGGUCCUCAAGUGGUGGGAUGGGCAAGGCGGCUCUCUGGGUCUCUGUCACAAGAGCACUGCUCCCAUCACAGGGGCUCCAUCCUCAUGACGUAAUCACAUCCCAAAGGACCCAUCUCCUAACUUCACACUGGGGGCAGGUAGAUCCCCAUGGAGGAAUUUGGGUGGAGGGGAGACACAAACAUUCAGUCCACAGCCAUGAGAAUUAGAGAGGCCAAGAACACGCAAAAGACAGAAAGUUCUGUGUGGGAAACUAUCACUCAGCAAGAACUCAUACAAAUCCUGGGAACAAUGACCUGUCAAUGUGGGUGGCAAUGAUAAUUCUAGGUGGCAAUGAUAAUUCUAAGAAGCAAUGUGAACUUUAGUUUCCAGUUUUGCUGAAGUCAGGGGUUUUAUUCAAUUAAAAAAAAAAAAGUUCAUCUAUUGCAUUUUGUGCCCACAGAUGAAAGAGGAAAUCAGCCUUUCUUUCAGGCACUCAGAGGGCACACAUGCCCAGAACUGCACAAACUUCACCAGUGGUGACAAUAAUGGGGCCACUUUACAUUUUACACAGGGUUGGGGUUUUCAGUAUUCAUGAUAAAGUAUGAGAAAGAUAUAGGAAAUAAUAUAACAAAGUCCCAGAUUUCUCAAGUCUUUACAGUUUGAUAUGCAUGUUUCAGACAUUUUUAAGAAAUUAUAAUUUACUGGUGAGUUUGAAGUCCCUUGUCAAGCCUUUUCCUCCCCCUUAGAGAUAACCAGCAUCCUGAAUUUGUCAUCCCCUUCCUGUUUUAUGCUCUGGUUAUGCACUGUUCUCAUAAAUACUAUAUUGAGUU
This is a long non-coding RNA of Acinonyx jubatus (cheetah), 5580 nucleotides long. RefSeq lists it as uncharacterized. The transcript is spliced from 4 exons. Lineage: Eukaryota; Metazoa; Chordata; Mammalia; Carnivora; Felidae. The record is from RefSeq and is a predicted model, not a curated record.